Balaenoptera acutorostrata (minke whale) is the source of this 107-nucleotide small nuclear RNA. NCBI's taxonomy places the organism in Eukaryota, Metazoa, Chordata, Mammalia, Artiodactyla, Balaenopteridae. The record is from RefSeq and is a predicted model, not a curated record.
GUGCUCGCUUCUGUAGCAUAAAUACUAAAAUUGGAACGAUACAGAGAAAAUUAGCAUGGCCCCUGCGCAAGGACGACACGCAAAUUCGUGAAGGGUUCCAUAUUUUA